CAUCCCGUGGUUGUUCUUGGAAUG
Molecule: non-coding RNA, 24 nt
Filed under: Mus musculus (house mouse)
Lineage: Eukaryota; Metazoa; Chordata; Mammalia; Rodentia; Muridae
Source: RNAcentral